Molecule: ribosomal RNA, 422 nt
Filed under: Eclipophleps glacialis
Lineage: Eukaryota; Metazoa; Arthropoda; Insecta; Orthoptera; Acrididae
Description: partial large subunit ribosomal RNA
Rfam family: Archaeal large subunit ribosomal RNA
Source: RNAcentral
UAAAGAGCCGCGGUAUUUUGACCGUGCAAAGGUAGCAUAAUCAUUAGUCUUUUAAUUAAAGGCUAGAAUGAAUGGCUUGACGAGAAAUUAACUGUCUCUUAAUAAUUUUUUGAAUUUAACUUUUGAGUUAAAAGGCUUAAAUUUUUCUUUAGGACGAGAAGACCCUAUAGAGCUUGACAUCUUGUUUAUAUAUAUUUAUAAGUUGGUCUUUUAUAUUUAAUGUUAAUGUUUUGUUGGGGUGACAUGAAGAAUUAAUAAACUCUUUAUUAUUAAAUCAUUAAUUUAUGUUUAUUUUGAUCCAUAAUUUAUGAUCAUAAGAUUAAGUUACCUUAGGGAUAACAGCGUAAUUGUUUUUGAGAGCUCAUAUUGACAAAGCAGAUUGCGACCUCGAUGUUGGAUUAAGAAAAAUUUUGGGUGUAGUA